ACUUUAAGUAGUUUAAUAAAAAAGCUCUAUUUGGGAGUAUAAUAUUAUAUUACGAUAUAAUAUUUAUAAUAACGUAUUAUUAUAAUGUUUAUUUCGAAUAGGCGUGAAAAUGUUAUUAGUUGCAUUCGUGUUACAAUACGUGAGGUAAUUUAAAAUGUAAACCUACACGCGCGAACGCGCCAGUAUCCUUGAGGAGAUUAAUGAAUCUGCAGGAACAGGUGUAAGCAAAUAUUCAUCUAGCGAUGUCAUCUGGAGACUUGACUUUAAUAGACGGAGUAAAUUAUACUAUUUGUAGUUAAUCUGAUGUGCUGUCACUGUUAACGGUGAUUCAUUGGGUCAAACAAGAAUUGCUUCGAUCAGAGAGAAUUUGAAAUAAUGUUCCAUUUGCUCACGAUUUAUUAUUAUUUAUGAGAAUUCUUGUACACGAUACCGAUAGACAUUGGUAUUGGAUAUGUUGAUUGCAAAAAUUAAAAUGUAUAAGAAGCUGCAAAAAUCGAAAGGAGAACGCAGAGAACUUGCAACAAUGACGGCUAUAGUAAUCGCUCGUGCUCUUAGUUGUCGAUAAAAUGCACGAUUUCGACUGUGUAGAGUGAUUGCCGGCAAACGCCAGCGCAAUCAUUCUAUGAAAAGUUCAAUGCACGUGUACAUACCUGUCCAAGGAAACCGCAACAAGACUGUAGACAGAGGCCGCCACAGAAACGCCCUGUAUAUAAGUGACUGCUUUGCACAUGAACCACCCCAGGAUCCAUGCUGAAACACAAGAUUACGAUUUAUCGUUGGACGGCACAUGCUGAAGAUGAUCAGUAGGAUUGAAGAAGUAAGUCUACGUAAGAAAUUUUGUAUGGAUACAGUGAAUUUUAUAUAAAGCUUGCCAAGAGCCACAGUAUUCUUUAACUUUAUAAUGCACCUCUGAUGAAAAUGAAAUUUUCGUUUGCGAAUAAAGAUUAACAGAG
Molecule: long non-coding RNA, 953 nt
Organism: Hylaeus anthracinus
Lineage: Eukaryota; Metazoa; Arthropoda; Insecta; Hymenoptera; Colletidae
Exons: 3
Source: RefSeq, a predicted model, not a curated record